RNAcentral lists this ribosomal RNA (253 nucleotides) under uncultured bacterium. RNAcentral's name for it is "partial 16S ribosomal RNA". It matches the Rfam family "Bacterial small subunit ribosomal RNA", at positions 524 to 776 of the family's 1533-position model. The record is from RNAcentral.
UACAGAGGUCCCAAGCGUUGUUCGGAUUCACUGGGCGUAAAGGGGGCGCAGGUGGGUUUGCAAGUUCGAUGUGAAAGCCCCGGGCUUAACCCGGGAAUGGCAUUGGAUACUGCAGAUCUGGAGGAUCGGAGGGGGGACUGGAAUUCUUGGUGUAGCAGUGAAAUGCGUAGAUAUCAAGAGGAACACCAGUGGCGAAGGCGAGUCCCUGGACGAUACCUGACACUGAGGCACGAAAGCCGGGGGAGCAAACGGG